This 496-nucleotide ribosomal RNA is filed under the name uncultured bacterium. RNAcentral's name for it is "bacterial SSU rRNA". It matches the Rfam family "Bacterial small subunit ribosomal RNA", at positions 899 to 1397 of the family's 1533-position model. The record is from RNAcentral.
ACUCAAAUGAAUAGACGGGGGCCCGCACAAGCAGCGGAGCAUGUGGUUUAAUUCGAAGCAACGCGAAGAACCUUACCAGGGCUUGACAUCCCUUGACGUGUAUUGAAAGAUACAUUCCCUUCGGGGCAAGGAGACAGGUGGUGCAUGGUUGUCGUCAGCUCGUGUCGUGAGAUGUUGGGUUAAGUCCCGCAACGAGCGCAACCCUUAUUGUUAGUUGCCAGCAAGUAAGAUGGGAACUCUAACGAGACUGCCGGGGAUAACUCGGAGGAAGGUGGGGACGACGUCAAAUCAUCAUGCCCCUUAUGUCCUGGGCUACACACGUGCUACAAUGGCCGGUACAGAGGGCAGCGAAACCGUGAGGUGGAGCGAAUCCCAAAAAGCCGGUCUCAGUUCGGAUUGUGGGCUGCAACCCGCCCACAUGAAGCCGGAGUUGCUAGUAAUCGCGAAUCAGCAUGUCGCGGUGAAUGCGUUCCCGGGCCUUGUACACACCGCCCGU